UCGAAGGAGAAGGGUGGUGCUUGCACUACCUGGAGACUGGCGGACGGGUGAGUAACGCGUAGAUAACCUGCCUAUAUCUGGGGGAUAACAUUUCGAAAGGGAUGCUAAUACCGCAUAAUGCAGCGGGGCCGCAUGGCCACAGUUGUUAAAAGUUUCGGCUGGAUAUAGAGGGGUCUGCGUACUAUUAGUUAGUUGGUGAGGUAACGGCUCACCAAGGCGAUGAUAGUUAGGGGGUCUGAGAGGAUGAUCCCCCACACUGGGACUGAGACACGGCCCAGACUCCUACGGGAGGCAGCAGUGAGGAAUCUUGCGCAAUGGGCGAAAGCCUGACGCAGCCACGCCGCGUGCCGGAAGACGGCCCUAUGGGUUGUAAACGGCUUUUGGAAGGGAAGAACGACCGAGUUUCGACUUGGUGUGACGGUACCUUCUGAAUAAGCACCGGCUAACUCCGUGCCAGCAGCCGCGGUAAUACGGAGGGUGCAAGCGUUGUCCGGAAUCAUUGGGUGUAAAGGGUGCGUANGCGGGAGCCUAAGUCUGUGGUGAAAUCUUGCCGCUUAACGGUAAAAUGGCCAUGGAUACUGGGGUUUCUUGAGUACANAANNGNNCGGUGGAAUUCGUANUGUANCNGUGAAUGCAUANAUAUUACAAGANAUCAGUGGCGAANNGGCCGGCUGGACUGUNACUGACNCUGANNACGAAANCNUGGGGAGCNAACAGGAUANAUNCCCNGUAGUCCACGCUG
This 742-nucleotide ribosomal RNA is filed under the name uncultured bacterium. Its description in RNAcentral is "partial 16S ribosomal RNA". It matches the Rfam family "Bacterial small subunit ribosomal RNA", at positions 62 to 802 of the family's 1533-position model. The record is from RNAcentral.